CACUCCUACGGGAGGCAGCAGUGGGGAAUAUUGCACAAUGGGCGCAAGCCUGAUGCAGCCAUGCCGCGUGUAUGAAGAAGGCCUUCGGGUUGUAAAGUACUUUCAGCGGGGAGGAAGGCGAUAAGGUUAAUAACCUUGUCGAUUGACGUUACCCGCAGAAGAAGCACCGGCUAACUCCGUGCCAGCAGCCGCGGUAAUACGGAGGGUGCAAGCGUUAAUCGGAAUUACUGGGCGUAAAGCGCACGCAGGCGGUCUGUCAAGUCGGAUGUGAAAUCCCCGGGCUCAACCUGGGAACUGCAUUCGAAACUGGCAGGCUAGAGUCUUGUAGAGGGGGGUAGAAUUCCAGGUGUAGCGGUGAAAUGCGUAGAGAUCUGGAGGAAUACCGGUGGCGAAGGCGGCCCCCUGGACAAAGACUGACGCUCAGGUGCGAAAGCGUGGGGAGCAAACAGGAUUAGAAACCCCGGUAGUCCCAUGAU
RNAcentral lists this ribosomal RNA (476 nucleotides) under uncultured organism. Its description in RNAcentral is "partial 16S ribosomal RNA". It matches the Rfam family "Bacterial small subunit ribosomal RNA", at positions 334 to 801 of the family's 1533-position model. The record is from RNAcentral.